RNAcentral lists this long non-coding RNA (415 nucleotides) under Struthio camelus australis. RNAcentral's name for it is "lncRNA (ENSSCUG00000016893.1)". Lineage: Eukaryota; Metazoa; Chordata; Aves; Struthioniformes; Struthionidae. The record is from RNAcentral.
GAAAGAGUGCACUGAAAAAGGAGGACCCUUAUCAACCAAACCCUUUUAAAAAGUACCUUGAAGAAACCAGUGAUCAGGAUACUGAGCAGCCCAGUCAUCCCAUAGUGCCUAUUCCAGAAAAUGAAACACUCGGCUCUGAGGAGCCUUGAAUUAGGAUCCAGAGCUAAAACCGUAAAGGAUUUUGAGGCCUGUUCCUACACUGAGAGGGAAUCCACAAUACAAAUGUUUAAAACACCAUUAAAAAAAAAUUGCUUCUAGUAUACUAAUUGCAAAGCAAUCACAACUAUCAAAUAUUCUAAGAGAUAAUCAUAUGUACUAGACUAAUUAACCCCAGAGAUAUACACAUGAAUAUGGCAUAUUUAUAUAUUGUUUCUUGAAGUGCUUACUGGUUUAAGAGAUGCCCAAAAUAACUCAG